GACGAACGCUGGCGGCGUGCUUAACACAUGCAAGUCGAACGGUGACGAGGAGCUUGCUCCUCUGAUCAGUGGCGAACGGGUGAGUAACACGUGAGCAACCUGCCCCAGACUCUGGGAUAACAGUUGGAAACAGCUGCUAAUACCGGAUACGAGACGGAGAGGCAUCUCUACCGUCUGGAAAGUUUUUCGGUCUGGGAUGGACUCGCGGCCUAUCAGCUAGUUGGUGAGGUAAUGGCUCACCAAGGCGACGACGGGUAGCCGGCCUGAGAGGGCGACCGGCCACGACUGGGACUGAGACACGGCCCAGACUCCUACGGGAGGCAGCAGUGGGGAAUAUUGCACAAUGGGCGAAAGCCUGAUGCAGCGACGCCGCGUGAGGGAUGACGGCCUCGGUUGUAACGUACUUCUAGCAGGAAGAAGACGAAAGUAGAACGGUACCGUACGCGACGAAGAAAGGACGAACCGGACCGUAACUAACCGUUACGUCCGAACGCGAACGACCGGCCGGUAAACCGAACGUAACC
Molecule: ribosomal RNA, 524 nt
Filed under: uncultured bacterium
Lineage: Bacteria
Description: bacterial SSU rRNA
Rfam family: Bacterial small subunit ribosomal RNA
Source: RNAcentral